Molecule: ribosomal RNA, 460 nt
Filed under: uncultured bacterium
Lineage: Bacteria
Description: partial 16S ribosomal RNA
Rfam family: Bacterial small subunit ribosomal RNA
Source: RNAcentral
CCUACGGGAGGCAGCAGUGAGGAAUAUUGGUCAAUGGACGAGAGUCUGAACCAGCCAAGUAGCGUGAAGGAUGACUGCCCUAUGGGUUGUAAACUUCUUUUAUAUGGGAAUAAAAUGUUCCACGUGUGGGAUUUUGUAUGUACCAUAUGAAUAAGGAUCGGCUAACUCCGUGCCAGCAGCCGCGGUAAUACGGAGGAUCCGAGCGUUAUCCGGAUUGAUUGGGUGUAAAGGGAGCGUAGGUGGAUUGUUAAGUCAGUUGUGAAAGUUUGCGGCUCAACCGUAAAAUUGCAGUUGAAACUGGCAGUCUUGAGUACAGUAGAGGUGGGCGGAAUUCGUGGUGUAGCGGUGAAAUGCUUAGAUAUCACGAAGAACUCCGAUUGCGAAGGCAGCUCACUGGACUGCAACUGACACUGAGGCUCGAAAGUGUGGGUAUCAAACAGGAUUAGAUACCCGGGUAGUC